This is a non-coding RNA of Candidatus Nomurabacteria bacterium, 107 nucleotides long. The record is from Rfam. NCBI's taxonomy places the organism in Bacteria, Candidatus Nomuraibacteriota.
UUUGGUGGUUUAACGCUAGGGUCACACCUCUUCCCAUUCCGAACAGAGAAGUUAAGCCUAGUAGUGGCGAUGAUACUCGUCAAGGGAAAAGUAGCUAGCCGCCAAAA